RNAcentral lists this non-coding RNA (61 nucleotides) under Hyphomicrobiales bacterium. RNAcentral describes it as "Rhizobiales bacterium Fluoride sequence". It matches the Rfam family "Fluoride riboswitch aptamer (crcB RNA motif)". The record is from RNAcentral. Lineage: Bacteria; Pseudomonadati; Pseudomonadota; Alphaproteobacteria; Hyphomicrobiales.
AUUUCACAUGGCGAUGGAGUUCGCCUUCGAGCGCCGAUCGGCUGAUGACUCCUUGACUGUC